This 253-nucleotide ribosomal RNA is filed under the name uncultured bacterium. RNAcentral describes it as "partial 16S ribosomal RNA". It matches the Rfam family "Bacterial small subunit ribosomal RNA", at positions 524 to 776 of the family's 1533-position model. The record is from RNAcentral.
UACGGAGGGUGCAAGCGUUGUUCGGAAUCAUUGGGCGUAAAGCGCGUGUAGGCGGCUUGGCAAGUCGGUUGUGAAAUCCCGGGGCCCAACCCCGGAACUGCAAUCGAAACUGCCUCGCUAGAGUCCCGGAGAGGAAGGCGGAAUUCCCGGUGUAGAGGUGAAAUUCGUAGAUAUCGGGAGGAACACCAGUGGCGAAGGCGGCCUUCUGGACGGUGACUGACGCUGAGACGCGAAAGCGUGGGGAGCAAACAGG